Spinacia oleracea (spinach) is the source of this 87-nucleotide non-coding RNA. Lineage: Eukaryota; Viridiplantae; Streptophyta; Magnoliopsida; Caryophyllales; Amaranthaceae. The record is from Rfam.
GGACAAUGACGAAUGAAAUAUUAAGGUCUCGUUCGUCGUAAGAGCGAUAAUUUCGCCUUGCCGAUAAUUUUAACCAUUUCCGAGUCC